This 486-nucleotide ribosomal RNA is filed under the name uncultured bacterium. RNAcentral describes it as "partial 16S ribosomal RNA". It matches the Rfam family "Bacterial small subunit ribosomal RNA", at positions 28 to 507 of the family's 1533-position model. The record is from RNAcentral.
GAUGAACGCUGGCGGCGUGCCUAAUACAUGCAAGUCGAACGCUGGAGAUCUAGCUUGCUAGAUCGAAGGAGUGGCGAACGGGUGAGUAAUACAUAAGCAACCUACCCACGAAGACUGGGAUAAUCUCUGGAAACGGGGACUAAUACCGGAUAGGUAAUCGGAAGGCAUCUUCUGGUUAUUAAAGGUUAAAAACACUGGUGGAUGGGCUUAUGGCGCAUUAGUUAGUUGGUGAGGUAACGGCCCACCAAGACGAUGAUGCGUAGCCGGCCUGAGAGGGUGAACGGCCACAUUGGGACUGAGACACGGCCCAGACUCCUACGGGAGGCAGCAGUAGGGAAUUUUCGGCAAUGGGGGCAACCCUGACCGAGCAACGCCGCGUGUGUGAAGACGGCCUUCGGGUUGUAAAGCUCUGUUGUAAGGGAAGAACGGUAGAUAGAGAAUAUCUAAGUGACGGUACCUUACCAGAAAGCCACGGCUAACUACGUG